Molecule: long non-coding RNA, 867 nt
Organism: Arabidopsis lyrata subsp. lyrata
Lineage: Eukaryota; Viridiplantae; Streptophyta; Magnoliopsida; Brassicales; Brassicaceae
Exons: 2
Source: RefSeq, a predicted model, not a curated record
GCCUUUUGUACUUUGUUUUCAUCGAUUUUUUUUGCCCUACUUUCUCUCUCUCUCGGGCGAUUUGUGCGAUGGCGGAAUCCGAUAAAUCACAGGGUGAUGCAUUGUUUUCCGAUGAAUCCUAUGAUGGAGAGUGAAAUUAAAGGUGAAAUUAUGGUGGGUAUUUCAUCCGGAACCCUAGAAUUUGUGAUCUUCAACGGGAAAAAUGACUUCAACUCCGUCCGCCGGUCGUGAGCUCUCGAAUCCGCCGUCCGUCGGCUUUUCCAAUCUCCGAUUUUCCAUAACAGUAACUCCUCGUUUCUUCAUGGGAUAAGGUCCCUUUCUUUGGCUUUUACUGAUUUAAUUGAAGUCUCUUCUUCUUCUAAAGCUUUUUUUUGUUGUUCUGUUGUUGUGUGUUUGCUGCAAUUAAGCGUGUGAGAUUGUAUGAUGUGAGCACCAAUUCGUUGAAAGGGGAGUUCUUACAUGGCGGAGUAGUGCUCGAUUGCUGUCCGACGUUUGCAAGCUAAUCUCAGUGUUGUGAAGAGACUGGUUGGUAUAAGAAUGUUUCCACUCAGGCUAAUAAAAUGUCUACUCUUCACUUGGUCCUCCGUCUCUGUGGUGGUUUCUAAAUCUCGUCUCUCUUAUGGUUUAAGAAGUUCAUGUCUCGUUUGUUUUAAAACUUUGGUGGUUUGUGUUUUUGGGGCCUUGUAAAGCUCAUGAGAAAUAAUUGAUGAACUAUGUUUCCAUUCUUAUCUCCUCUGUUCUUUUUAAUGACAAAUCGAACUUCUUCUCUACUGGAAUUAUAUCCUACUUGUCUCUUUAUCAUCGUUGGUUUUUACAUGAUCUGUGCUUGUUUUGUUUAAUAAGUCUGAAAUGUGGCUCGACUCUGUU